GGGAAGCGGUUUCCAAGUGGUCGGUGGGUGACUGGAUGGGUCUAGAACCUGGAAGAUGGCCUGCCACCCGCAGCUCCUCAGCUGAGCCCCUGGAGUCUUGUCUUUGUGGAGGGAGGCAGGAUCAAGGGGCUCCAGUGUCCUCCCUUCCCCCACCCACGUGGGCUUUGUGAACUUGAGGAGGACAAGAGUGGGCCGAGUGGCUCCGGGGAGGAUCGGCUUAUACAGCCAAACUCCCCACUGCCCCACAUUGUUGGCUUCUGCGGAGGGAGGGGCAGAGAGAGAGGGACUCUCCUCGCACAAGAGACGUUCUGAGACCACACAGAGGGCUGGAAGCAGUCAGCAGCCGCCAUUUUCAGGAUUUUGGUCACAUCUGUGUACACCUCUACAUUCAUUUACUUUUGUUUGCUCCAUUGUGUGCGUGUGUUGAUUUUUUUCCCCUCCACUAGGUAUUACGAUCACGUCCGUCCAAGGGCAAAAAGAGAUUAAAAGAGGAAUUAAAUCUUGGCUGACAGUCUGAUGCUGCAGGACAUGGUGCACCUUCAAUAGCUCUCAGAGUUCGUCAGUGAUUUGGUUUCCCCGUCAAUUCUGAGAAUUCAGUUACAGGGUGCAAGUAUGAGGACCAGUCUUUAACUCCAACACCAAGAAAGCAAAGCAAGCAUCCAUGGAACUCCUUCACCUGUGCACGGUCCAGAUGGGGCAAUGUGUAACCUGGAGUGUCUCACAACGGUGUGUUGGAAGCUUGGUUCCUGGCCCAGCUGUUAAUGGGAAUAGUGGUACCAUUAGGAGGUGGUACCUAGUGGGCCAUUAGGAUGAGCCCUUAGAGGGGACAUUGGCCUUCUUCCUCUCUCUUUCUGGGCUACCAAGAGGCGACCAGCUUCUUUUGUCAAGCACUCUCGAUAUAAUGUGAUGCUUCAUGCCUAACCACGGGACCACGCACGGAAAUCCCUGACAUCAUAAAACCAGGGAUCGUGAGCAUUCAUCCCUGAAGUCAUAAACCAAAGGAAGCUCUUCUUCCUUUACAUUGACUUGCCUCAGAGCCUCUGUCACAGCCACGAAAAGCUAACCCAGGUGGUAAGUGUCUGCUCUGCGUUUUCAUCAGUAGUUUUUAAAUCUUGUCCUUGGGCUCCCUCCCUGGUGGCUACUUCCAUCUGAAACACAAGCCCUUCCUGUCCUUCAAGUCCCUGCUCAAGGGUUUGCUCUUCAGAGAAGGUUGGAGAAGGGCUGAUCUGAAGAAAGUCCACCCUUCAGCCGUGAGCUCUUGCUCUGCCCACUAGGACACUUGCUGCUUCCUGGGAAUACCCUGGCUGUUCACUUGGUGUGCUUCUUUGCUUUAAGGCUACCUGCCCCUGCCAGAAUGUCAACUCUGUGAAAAGAAUAACUCUGUCUUGCUAAUGGCUGCUUCCCCAGUGACAAAGGGAGGCUUAACAGAUGAAGAAGGAAGGGACAAAGGCUUUCCUCUGAGUGUCUUGUGGCUCUGCUGCCCUUGUGUUGGCACAGGCAGCAACUUUCCAGGACCAACGGUGUCAGGACAGUCAAUAUGACAGCAGUAAAGUUAUAUCAGUACUGCAUCAUCCUUCAGGCCUUGGGGAAGAAAGGACAUCAUUGGGAGCCUCUCAAGGUUGCCAGUCAUUGGGUCUGUCAGGGUCAUGUGACUUUCACCAAAUCAAUCCCUGUGAGCAGGGAUACAGUGCCCUCUGGCUG
This is a long non-coding RNA of Mus musculus (house mouse), 1701 nucleotides long. RefSeq annotates it as predicted gene, 40959. The record is from RefSeq and is a predicted model, not a curated record. Lineage: Eukaryota; Metazoa; Chordata; Mammalia; Rodentia; Muridae. The transcript has 3 exons.